Camelina sativa (false flax) is the source of this 277-nucleotide non-coding RNA. Lineage: Eukaryota; Viridiplantae; Streptophyta; Magnoliopsida; Brassicales; Brassicaceae. The record is from RefSeq and is a predicted model, not a curated record.
AUCGGUGACGGUUCAAAAUACGUUAAUAUAUCACGAAUCUCAUGUGGUCCGGGGCAUGGAAUAAGUAUCGGAAGCUUAGGUCGAUAUGGAACCAAAGAAACGGUGGAAGAUGUUGUUGUUCAAGAUUGUACUUUUAGAGAAACAACUAAUGGGGUUAGAAUCAAGACAUGGCAGGGAGGAAGAGGACAUGUGCGAAAUGUUUUGUUUGAACGUAUAAAACUACAUGGAGCAACCCGACCUAUUAUUAUCGACCAAUUUUAUUGCCCUCAUAGACAAU